UGAAGAAAGCAGACGUUGGCUUUGCAAUGGGCAUUGCUGGAACUGAUGUGGCUAAAGAAGCGUCUGAU
This 68-nucleotide unclassified non-coding RNA is filed under the name Mus musculus (house mouse). RNAcentral's name for it is "partial C/D box snoRNA; small non-messenger RNA (snmRNA)". The record is from RNAcentral. Lineage: Eukaryota; Metazoa; Chordata; Mammalia; Rodentia; Muridae.